This 450-nucleotide ribosomal RNA is filed under the name uncultured bacterium. Its description in RNAcentral is "partial 16S ribosomal RNA". It matches the Rfam family "Bacterial small subunit ribosomal RNA", at positions 338 to 795 of the family's 1533-position model. The record is from RNAcentral.
CCUACGGGGGGCUGCAGUAAGGAAUAUUGCGCAAUGGGCGAAAGCCUGACGCAGCGACGCCGCGUGGGGGAUGAAGGUCUUCGGAUUGUAAACCCCUUUCGGGAGGGAAGAUGGAACGAGCAAUCGUUCGGACGGUACCUCCAGAAGCAGCCACGGCCAACUUCGUGCCAGCAGCCGCGGUAAUACGAAGGUGGCAAGCGUUGUUCGGAUUCACUGGGCGGACGGGGUGUCGAGGCGGUAAGGUUACUGUUAAAGCCUCGGGCCCAACCCGGAAAGCGCAGAGGGUACUGCCAGGCUAGAGGGUGGGAGAGGAGCGCGGAAUUCCCGGUGUAGCGGUGAAAUGCGUAGAGAUCGGGAGGAAGGCCGGUGGCGAAGGCGGCGCUCUGGAACACACCUGACGCUGAGACACGAAAGCGUGGGGAGCAAACAGGAUUAGAUACCCCAGUAGUC